This is a long non-coding RNA of Triticum dicoccoides, 323 nucleotides long. RefSeq lists it as uncharacterized. The transcript has 3 exons. NCBI's taxonomy places the organism in Eukaryota, Viridiplantae, Streptophyta, Magnoliopsida, Poales, Poaceae. The record is from RefSeq and is a predicted model, not a curated record.
UGCUAUCCGCUCCUAAAUUCUCACACCAUGUCAGGUGUUUAGAAGUGAUGAUCAUUGUGGUCUUUAGUUGUCAUGGCUGUAAUCCUAGUGCAUGGGCUUUUGUGGGCUGGUCCAACCGGAGUUGGUUGAUGGCAGGGCUGUGCUCCAGGGACCGUAUGGCUGAAGAAGGGAUGCAAAUGGUUUUACAGUGAAGAGCUGAAGAAGUUGUGACGGCGAUGAAAGGACUGAAAGAUUUGCUCGAAGCAAAGACAUCUAGCCGAGAUACAUAUGCAACGAAGAGGAGGGAUCUUAUGUAUAAUAUGCGACAUCCAUGGUGCUUAAGG